Molecule: ribosomal RNA, 499 nt
Filed under: uncultured bacterium
Lineage: Bacteria
Description: bacterial SSU rRNA
Rfam family: Bacterial small subunit ribosomal RNA
Source: RNAcentral
GUUCUCUUCGGAGCACUGGAGACAGGUGGUGCAUGGUUGUCGUCAGCUCGUGUCGUGAGAUGUUGGGUUAAGUCCCGCAACGAGCGCAACCCUUAUCCUUAGUAGCCAGCAGGGAAAGCUGGGCACUCUAGGGAGACUGCCAGGGAUAACCUGGAGGAAGGUGGGGAUGACGUCAAAUCAUCAUGCCCCUUAUGAUUUGGGCUACACACGUGCUACAAUGGCGUAAACAAAGGGAAGCGAAGUGGCGACAUGGAGCGAACCCCAAAAAUAACGUCUCAGUUCGGAUUGCAGGCUGCAACCCGCCUGCAUGAAGCCGGAAUCGCUAGUAAUCGCAGAUCAGAAUGCUGCGGUGAAUACGUUCCCGGGUCUUGUACACACCGCCCGUCACAUCAUGGGAGUCGAUAACGCCCGAAGUCAGUGACCCAACCGAAAGGAGGGAGCUGCCGAAGGCGGGAUGGAUAACUGGGGUGAAGUCGUAACAAGGUAGCCGUAUCGGAAG